AGGAUUAGAUACCCUGGUAGUCCACGCCGUAAACGAUGUCGACUUGGAGGUUGUUCCCUUGAGGAGUGGCUUCCGGAGCUAACGCGUUAAGUCGACCGCCUGGGGAGUACGGCCGCAAGGUUAAAACUCAAAUGAAUUGACGGGGGCCCGCACAAGCGGUGGAGCAUGUGGUUUAAUUCGAUGCAACGCGAAGAACCUUACCUACUCUUGACAUCCACGGAAUUUGGCAGAGAUGCCUUAGUGCCUUCGGGAACCGUGAGACAGGUGCUGCAUGGCUGUCGUCAGCUCGUGUUGUGAAAUGUUGGGUUAAGUCCCGCAACGAGCGCAACCCUUAUCCUUUGUUGCCAGCGAUUCGGUCGGGAACUCAAAGGAGACUGCCGGUGAUAAACCGGAGGAAGGUGGGGAUGACGUCAAGUCAUCAUGGCCCUUACGAGUAGGGCUACACACGUGCUACAAUGGCGCAUACAAAGAGAAGCGACCUCGCGAGAGCAAGCGGACCUCAUAAAGUGCGUCGUAGUCCGGAUCGGAGUCUGCAACUCGACUCCGUGAAGUCGGAAUCGCUAGUAAUCGUGGAUCAGAAUGCCACGGUGAAUACGUUCCCGGGCCUUGUACACACCGCCCGUCACACCAUGGGAGUGGGUUGCAAAAGAAGUAGGUAGCUUAACCUUCGGGAGGGCGCUUACCACUUUGUGAUUCAUGACUGGGGUGAAGUCGUAACAAGGUA
This 724-nucleotide ribosomal RNA is filed under the name Pantoea sp. RNAcentral describes it as "bacterial SSU rRNA". It matches the Rfam family "Bacterial small subunit ribosomal RNA", at positions 774 to 1498 of the family's 1533-position model. The record is from RNAcentral. Lineage: Bacteria; Pseudomonadati; Pseudomonadota; Gammaproteobacteria; Enterobacterales; Erwiniaceae.